This 292-nucleotide unclassified non-coding RNA is filed under the name plant metagenome. RNAcentral describes it as "partial contains small subunit ribosomal RNA, internal transcribed spacer 1, and 5.8S ribosomal RNA". The record is from RNAcentral.
UUUCCGUAGGUGAACCUGCGGAAGGAUCAUUAUUGAAUAAACCUGAUGUGGUUGUAGCUGGCCCUUUCGUGAGCAUGUGCACACCCGUCGUCUUUAUCUUUCCACCUGUGCACCUUUUGUAGACCUGGAUGUAACACUUUCCGAGGCAACUCGGUCGAGAGGAAUGCUGUCAGCUUUCCUUGAAUGUCCAGGCCUAUGUUUUCAUAUACCCCAAAGAAUGUAACAGAAUGUAUUAUUGGGCAUUGUGCCUAUAAACUAUAUACAACUUUCAGCAACGGAUCUCUUGGCUCUC